AAGAUUCGGGUUUCGGCCCAAACCUUUCAUCGGCUGUGCGCUUCGGCUGCACGCCGUUGGAUUACCUUCACACCUGUGCACCCCUUCGGUCGCGGCGCUUUGCGGCGUCGCUUCCGCUUCACGUACAACUACAAAAGUCCAGAAUGUAAUAAACUUUAAACAUAA
This 165-nucleotide unclassified non-coding RNA is filed under the name uncultured Exidiopsis. RNAcentral describes it as "sequence contains ITS1". The record is from RNAcentral. Lineage: Eukaryota; Fungi; Basidiomycota; Agaricomycetes; Auriculariales; Exidiaceae.